UGGAACCUCGAAGAAAAGAAAAAGUGAGACGAGAGGUAAAAAUGGACAAGUGUCCGACAGUAGAAUUAGGGGUACAAGAUACCCACCUGAGAGGAAAGAAAAAGAAAAUAUAGAGCAUCUCAUUCUCCCCAAAAAGCUUCAAAUUGCAAGAAAGGUACGUAUCCCCUUAAAAGAGCAAAAGUAGAAUUAGACUUUCACCAUUGUUAUCACCAUCAUCACCAUACACCAUUCAUUCGCCACACAUGCACAUCUUGAUUUGACUUAUUGACUUGUUUCUCUGGAUCCAUGGUUUGACUAUGCAAUAAAUGUCUUGUAAGUAUGUAUUAGCUGUCUCCCACCUAUGAGCUCCAGAUAUCAGAACCUUAUUAGAGUAGGGUGAGAGAGAAGGCAAUAUCACUAUGCCUCAUACCAAAAAUACCACAUACUUUGAGAGAAGGCAUAUACCAUUACUGCCUUGGUAAGGAUCUAGAAAUACCACAAAAGAG
RNAcentral lists this long non-coding RNA (485 nucleotides) under Sorghum bicolor (sorghum). RNAcentral's name for it is "long non-coding RNA (SBIC_LNC017629)". Lineage: Eukaryota; Viridiplantae; Streptophyta; Magnoliopsida; Poales; Poaceae. The record is from RNAcentral.